GAAAUGCGAUAACUAGUGUGAAUUUCAGAAUUCCGUGAAUCAUCGAGUCUUUGAACGCACAUUGCGCCCCCUGGUAUUCCGGGGGGCAUGCCUGUCCGAGCGUCAUUGCUGCCCAUCAAGCACGGCUUGUGUGUUGGGUCGUCGUCCCCUCUCCGGGGGGGACGGGCCCCAAAGGCAGCGGCGGCACCGCGUCCGAUCCUCGAGCGUAUGGGGCUUUGUCACCCGCUCUGUAGGCCCGGCCGGCGCUUGCCGAACGCAAAUCAAUCUUUUUCCAGGUUGACCUCGGAUCAGGUAGGGAUACCCGCUGAACUUAAGC
This 316-nucleotide unclassified non-coding RNA is filed under the name plant metagenome. RNAcentral describes it as "partial contains 5.8S ribosomal RNA, internal transcribed spacer 2, and large subunit ribosomal RNA". The stretch from base 1 to 105 matches the Rfam family "5.8S ribosomal RNA", at positions 50 to 154 of the family's 154-position model. The record is from RNAcentral.